AUGGCUAUUAUAGUUCUAUCAAUUAUGAAUGACACACUUCAAAAUCAGAUGUCUAAUACUCUAAAUAUUUUAGAAGUUCAUUCUGUUUCCAUGCCUUAGAUACCAUGGUGGAAAAAAAAUCAUUGGAUUUGAAAUUAUGUAACUGUGGAUGGCUGGUAUUUGCAAAAUGAUGGGGGAUUCCAAACUACAUCAUUCAACUCUUCACUCUGGGCCUUGGACCAGUAUAGCAGGGCCUGAAUUCUCAUCUACUCAAGUAGCAAAGAGGAGAAGAUCAAAAGUUGGAAGCCUUCUUGGGAAACAUGCUGAUAUUUAGUCUCUAUAAUUUAGAAAGGUAGAGGGUGUUAGCUUAAGAUCACUUAGCAUAGACUCAACCUUUGUGUCAACCUCUUGUCAUUUUAGAAUGCUUUCCCAUCUUCAAAGACAAGUUGAGUAAUAGAUUGCAAUAUUUAAAAUGUUGAUUCUAAUAGCUAGCAGGUUCUAUGCACUUUUAAAAGUAUAAUACUCAACUAGAUAAAAGCUACACUGCACCUACUUUCUUCGUUUUUAUUUAAAUUAGAAACAAGCUUCUUUUACAUGUCAAUCUCAGUUCCCU
Molecule: long non-coding RNA, 592 nt
Filed under: Cricetulus griseus (Chinese hamster)
Lineage: Eukaryota; Metazoa; Chordata; Mammalia; Rodentia; Cricetidae
Description: lncRNA (ENSCGRG00000025413.1)
Source: RNAcentral